Molecule: long non-coding RNA, 1125 nt
Organism: Eublepharis macularius
Lineage: Eukaryota; Metazoa; Chordata; Lepidosauria; Squamata; Eublepharidae
Exons: 4
Source: RefSeq, a predicted model, not a curated record
CCAGGAUGCCUCUGCGGGUCAACGGGGAGCGGCUCGACCCGUCGCGGCCCGCCCGGGAGCUGCUGCGUUUGUGCCCGGAGCUGGAGAAUUCAGUGACGAGCUGGAAAAGGGCAAUCCCUUUCCAUUCAUUUAUGGAAGUGGGUCCUCCCCCUGCCCUUUGUGAACAGAGACCCUUGUUCAUCCAACACCUGCUUGAAGCCAACUGGCAAAAUUCAUCAGCAUGCUGGGAGAAGCUUCACGCAAUGAUUUCUACCUAUUAUGUGGGGCUUCAAGUCAGCCUUUCUCAUCGGUGACUUCGCAAAUGUGGGACAUCCCCCCCCAACAGAUCUCUCAGAGGAAGAAGUAUGCUGCCAUUGCCUCUGUCCUCCAUCUCCCAUACCACAGUGCAGACAUUCAGAGAGUACAAAUGAAACAUUUCCCCUGUCAAGGCAGGCAGGGGCAACACAAGAGCAGAGAAUGGAAUAGCAAGUAAAAGGAUCCACUACUGCUGAUACAGAGUAAAGAGGCAAGUGGUGACAGUGCUAUCAUUGCCUUAAAGUGGAAAUGUUGUACAGUGGAAGGCCUGUAUGGUGGGAACAUCUGGUAGCUGGUCUGGUUGGAAGACAUCCUUGUCAGUUAAGGUAUCUGUGGAGUCACCUCCUUUUACUAUCACACCUGCUGCCAUCUUGUGCAAUAGUUGAAUAGGCACCAAGACACUGGAAUAAUGGCAGUCGCCACAGAUUUCCAGGUUAUUACCAACUGCCAUUAUUUUAAUGGUUGGAUUUAGUACAUAUUAAAGCAAAGAGGGAAUUUGGUUUGGAUUUUGAUUAGUUGAUUUCCAAAUGCACCUGCUCAAGCUAUAACAGCAUCCCUGUCAACUGUGCCAUACAUCACAGCAGCGGCUGUCAGCCUUGUUGAUUAUUGUCUAGAAAUUGGAAAAAACAAUGUCAAACACAAUGCCAAAAAGCAUUUAUUCUUCAAGGGAUAAAAUUGCACAGAAUUAUGUUAAGUGGCACAUUUCAUGCCGUCUAAAAGCACAGGGGCUACUGUUUGGUUCAUUACAACCUGGGCCCUGCAAAACCCAGCAACAGAGAGUACCUCCUUAAAAGAUUAAACAAGGACAAAUGUCGCUGAAUGUAAUUUAUU